Molecule: ribosomal RNA, 481 nt
Filed under: Candidatus Kaiserbacteria bacterium
Lineage: Bacteria; Candidatus Kaiseribacteriota
Description: partial 23S ribosomal RNA
Rfam family: Bacterial large subunit ribosomal RNA
Source: RNAcentral
AAUCAAGCGCGAAAAGGGCGUUUGGUGAAUGCCUUGGCAGUAAGAGGCGAUGAAGGACGUGAUACUCUGCGAUAAGUCCUGGGGAGCUGAGAAUAAGCUUUGAUCCAGGAAUUUCCGAAUGGGGCAACCCACCUGACAGUUUGUUAUUGUUGCGCAAGCAAUCAAUAACCGGCUGAACCAGGUAUUUAUAACCUGAAUACAUAGGGUUAUAAAAGCAAACCCGGGGAACUGAAACAUCUAAGUACCCGGAGGAAAGGACAUCAAUUGAUACUCCCCUAGUAGCGGCGAGCGAACGGGGACCAGCCGAGCCAUGAAUGUGACUGGAACAGACUGGAAAGUCUGGCCAUAGCGGGUGACAGCCCCGUACAGGAAGCAUGAUUGGACGUAUUAAGUAGGGCGGGACACGUGAAAUCCUGUCUGAAGAUCGGAGGACCACCUUCGAAGGCUAAGUACUCCUUACUGACCGAUAGCGAACCAGUAC